GACGAACGCUGGCGGCGUGCUUAGCACAUGCAAGUCGAACGGAAAGGCCCUGCUUUUGUGGGGUGCUCGAGUGGCGAACGGGUGAGUAACACGUGAGUAACCUGCCCUUGACUUUGGGAUAACUUCAGGAAACUGGGGCUAAUACCGGAUAGGAGCUCCUGCUGCAUGGUGGGGGUUGGAAAGUUUCGGCGGUUGGGGAUGGGCUCGCGGCUUAUCCGCUUGUUGGUGGGGUAGUGGCUUACCAAGGCUUUGACGGGUAGCCGGCCUGAGAGGGUGACCGGCCACACUGGGACUGAGAUGAGGCCCAGGUUGCUACGGGAGGCAGCAGUGGGGAAGAUUGCACAAGGGGCGGAAGCCUGAUGCAGCAACGCCGCGUGCGGGAUGACGGUCUUCGGGUUGUAAACCGUUUGCGCCUGUGACGAAGCGUGAGUGACGGUAAUGGGUAAAGAAGCACCGGCUAACUACGGG
RNAcentral lists this ribosomal RNA (468 nucleotides) under uncultured bacterium. RNAcentral describes it as "partial 16S ribosomal RNA". It matches the Rfam family "Bacterial small subunit ribosomal RNA", at positions 28 to 507 of the family's 1533-position model. The record is from RNAcentral.